CGGUGUCCGACGAGUAUGAGCAGCUCUC
This 28-nucleotide non-coding RNA is filed under the name Rattus norvegicus (Norway rat). Lineage: Eukaryota; Metazoa; Chordata; Mammalia; Rodentia; Muridae. The record is from RNAcentral.